Molecule: non-coding RNA, 44 nt
Filed under: unclassified sequences
Source: RNAcentral
AUCGUUCAACCCAUACGGGUCGCAAGUAAGUCACGGAACGGAGC